Cannabis sativa is the source of this 2471-nucleotide long non-coding RNA. RefSeq lists it as uncharacterized. The transcript has 4 exons. Lineage: Eukaryota; Viridiplantae; Streptophyta; Magnoliopsida; Rosales; Cannabaceae. The record is from RefSeq and is a predicted model, not a curated record.
AAAUAAUUUAUUAAUAAAAAUAAAAUAAUUUAUGAGAAAUUUAUGGUCACUUUUUUAUUAUAUAUAAUAAAAUAAAAAUAAAAUAAAUCUCAAAAAUACUAUUGGUAACUUUUUAAAUCGAGCAUUCCUCUCAUCUCACUCCUCAACCACGGGCUGUGACAAUAACUCAAGCAUUUGUUGCGGCUGAUUCUCCUCUUUUCAUUUAAGAAAUCCUUUUUCAAUUGAAAUCCAAGUUUCUGGUAUUUUUCUCAAAAAUCAAUCAAUCUAAUAUUUUAUUCUACGACUUUCAUGUUUAAUUUUUUUCUUUUUGAUUUGGUAGAUUAUUUUCUUCUUCGUGAUUAUUUCCCAUAUAAGUUCGUCCCUUUUUAGAUUAAAAAAAAAUCCAGCCAGUCCAGCCCAACUCUCUUCUUCAUCUUCUUCAUUCACCAUUGUUUCUGCUUUUCUUUUCAAAAAAUUUAUAGUCUCUCAAUUGGGUCUGACUGAAUUAAAUCUCACUUUUCCUUUUUCUUAGAUAUAUCUACAUCUUCAAUUGAGUGCUUCAUCAAAUCAAAUCAAAUCACCAUUAAAUAAGAGAUAAGAAUUCCAAUUUACACUUGAUCUUUGUAUGGAUUAUUUAAAUUUUUAAUUUGAUUUGUCUUGCUUCCUUGUUCUGUUUAAAUGGGACAUUAUUAAAACUAUGAUUGUUUGGUUUUUAAAAAUACGGAAUAGAUGGUAGUAUUUUACUAAUUAUUUAGUUACUUUUACUACUUACAUAUUUAAUUCAAUUUUGGGAUCAUUUGCUGAUUGAAGACGAGGUUGAGAAUCAUGAGAAUCAUAUUGGUAAUCCUCAUUAAUUGGACUUUUAUGAAGUAGAAAACAUCAGCCUUAUAUCAUAAAUUAUAUUUUAGUGGCAACACUUGCAGAAGAUAAGUUUCAUGACGAGGUUAAGUCAUUCCAAGUUUGUAUCAUCCUAUACAAAGAUGUAAAUUUGGAAUAUUACUGGUGUAUAAAUAAGACUGCAAUGCAAUGCUUCUCUUUUUUACUGGUUCAUAUGAUACUCAUUCUAUUCCAUUAAUAUUUUUUUGCUGCUAUUUUAAUUGGUUUAUAAUCAUGUAUUGUUCACUACUUUAUAUAAAAAAAAAAGUUUAUACUGAUGGUGUUUUUAUUAUUACUUAUAGCAGAUAUAAAAAUUUAUGAAGCCUCUUCAAGUGCGGCAUUUCUACUCUUGGCAAUUUCUUUUUCUUAUCAUCAUUUCAUUCAUUCAAUCUAUUCAAUCCAUUUUCAUUUUCAUUCAUCAAUGUCUUUUAAAGAUUCUGUUUGUUAGGGCGAAAGGGUGUUAGAAAUUCAUUCUCAUUCGUGUGGUUUUCUCUUAUGUGCUUUCAAUGUAGGAAUCUGAUGUAGGAUAGAGAAAGGCAAGUAAAAGAAAGUUGAGGCAUGGUGUUUCUACAUGCCCAUCAAUUCUUUCUCCAGAAUUACAAUCCCAAAAACUCAAGAAACGACCCAAAAUACAAUCUUCCAUUGACAAAGUAUUUACUUGUGGUUGCUAUUGCGAUUGUUGAAUGAAAUUCGUGUGGAUCUUUUUGAGCUCAAGUAGGGAAAUAUGGUCUACAUUUCCUAGGCAGGAGGAAGCGAUGAAGUUUUCCAAGGAGCAUGAUCAUGCUCGUGUUUUCAGUUACCAAGAUCAUUUUAAUGGGCAAAGAAGGUUCCUUGUUUCAACUUAUAUAGAAUUCUGGAAAAGAUACAAGAAUACAGAUUCAAAUUUUUGCCACCAUUAUGAAGUGAUUCAGGAGGUGUAAAUCUAUCGAUACUCUCAGAUCAACCAAGAUAAAAACUGUGAAAUUACUGCCGCCCCCUUGGUCUUUAAGGAACACGAUUGUUGGGACAUCUUGCUGGUCUAACUGUGUUCUAAUAUUUGUAACGAAUGCACACUUAAGUGAAUCAAUUCAGGGUCUUAGCUCUCUCUAGGGUCUUUUGGUAUAACUGCAACAGAGCUUGCUCAUGGUCAUGUUCCUUUCUCAAGAUACCCUCCAAUAAAGGUGCAUAGCUUGCUCAAUUUAUUGGACUCUAAUCACUUUAAUUACGAAUAGAGUUUAAUCUGAACCAAUUUUUAAAUUGUGAGUAGAUACUACUAAUGACACUGCAAAGUGGACCUCCUUGCGUUACUAAUCCUUCGGAUGAUAUGUUUUCUAAUAGCUUUAGGCAAAUGGUUGCUUCUUACUUGAUAAAAGACUAUUUAAGGCUCCCUUCUGCAAAAAUAUUGCUAAAGCAUUCAUUCUUUAACAAGCUCGGUCAAAGGAUUAUAUCCAGAGGAAGUUUUUAGAGGGGCUUUUUCAAUAGUGUUUUCAAUUGUAUAUGUUUCUUUUUAAUUUUGAAAAUCUCCAUAAUUUAUUGUCUUUAACAAUAUGAUAUAGAUUUGUUUCUUUCACAAAAAUAUCAACAAUUUACAUAUUAUUUAGCUUUUAAUUUCAUAGAUUUAAUAUUAUUGCUUUUGU